This 74-nucleotide transfer RNA is filed under the name Cordylochernes scorpioides. RNAcentral's name for it is "tRNA-Thr". Lineage: Eukaryota; Metazoa; Arthropoda; Arachnida; Pseudoscorpiones; Chernetidae. The record is from RNAcentral.
UGUCAAGGGAUGGGAAUCGAACAACGACCUUCCGCUUACCGGGCAGAUGCCAUGACCACUAGGCUACCCUGGAC